RNAcentral lists this ribosomal RNA (447 nucleotides) under Triticum aestivum (bread wheat). RNAcentral describes it as "partial small subunit ribosomal RNA". The record is from RNAcentral. Lineage: Eukaryota; Viridiplantae; Streptophyta; Magnoliopsida; Poales; Poaceae.
AUGUUGAUCUCACAAGUGAGAAGCAGCAGAGCAGGAAGAAUGAAUGGAGAAGGGGGUCGGUCGCCUAUAUAUAGUGUUGUUCCUGGAGGCCAAGUUUUGGUUUUGGAGGCUGCAUCUCCUCCUGGAUCCAGGUUUUUCUAUGAUAUGCUGCAGCAGGAACACGAACGGAGCAGCCAAAUCGAAUGGAAUGGAAUCUCCAACACCUCCGCCUGGAUCCAUGGGUGGGUAGUGUGCCUGCAGCAGGAACGCCAAGAGAGCAGAGCAGCAAGUUGUGAGCGAGGAAAACACAUCCAUCCAGGCAGGCCUGUCAAAUCCAAUCCAAUCCAACAGAAAAAGGGAGAGAAAGGGGGCACCUUGACGAGCGAGCUCCAUCCGUGGCAUCCCGGGAAGAGGUUCAUCCUCCUCCUCUUGCAGAUCCGUCGUGGAGAAGAUGCACAAAGUCCUUGA